This is a long non-coding RNA of Vitis riparia (riverbank grape), 2392 nucleotides long. RefSeq lists it as uncharacterized. The transcript has 2 exons. NCBI's taxonomy places the organism in Eukaryota, Viridiplantae, Streptophyta, Magnoliopsida, Vitales, Vitaceae. The record is from RefSeq and is a predicted model, not a curated record.
GAUUGAUAAUCCUAUAGACUGAUGAAACCCACUAAUAUUUUGGCGUGGCUUUUAUUGCAAAGUGAUGUAAUUACUCUUUCUUGAAAAUUUGUUUGGUUGAAUAUAUUCUUAGGAGUAUGAUAUCAAUGGAAAAAAGUUGAUUCUUGAGAUUGUGAAAAGAAAAGUAAUUUAGGGAGGAAGAUGAGACUUGGAAUAUAAGAGAUAUGCACUUCUUGGUCUUCUCUCAGUAUUCUCCAAGAGGCCUUAAGGAUUCCACUUCAAGAAAUAGAAGGAAUCCACCUUGUAACAAAAUAACGAUUGUAAUUGAAUUUUCUUUGACUCAAAAUUUCUGCCUUCAUGGAAAACGAGAAUAAAUAAACAACAGUGCUCUUGUUCUAAGAAAUUCCACUUAUAAAACAACAGUUCUCUUGUUCCAAUGUGAAAUGUAUUCAAUAUGCCUUCUGUAGAAAAGAGAUUGAAGAAUAAAAGGUUGAAAAAUUCUUCUUAAAAAUUGUAUAGAGACAUGUACACACACACACACACAUAUAUAUAUAUAUAUAUACACACAAAAAUCCUAGAACCCAAGUUCGGGACUUUCCCAACUCAAUUACAAUAAAAUCCCUUUGAUUAUGGGAUUGCCUGCCUAAUUCUCUAUUCAGAAUCACAAUUUUCCUAAUUUCAAUCUUCCACUCCCCCUCAAGUUGGUGAAUAAAUGUUUUUCAUUCCCAGUUUGGAUAUGCUUGCUUGAAAUUUUGUACCGUUUAAAUCUUUUGUGAGUAUAUUUGCAAGUUGGCGGUCAGUAGAUAUAUAAGGGUAUAAAUCAAUCCACUGUCUAGUUUCUCUUUGAUAAAAUGCCUGUUAAUUUUUGUAUUUCGUUCGAUCGUGUUGCACUGGAUUAUGUGCAAUACUGAUUGUAGAUUUAUUGUCAUAGUAAAGUCCCAUUGGCCUAUCCCAUUUUAUCUUCAACCAUAGUAGUUCACAGACUCCUUUGGUCAUUGCUCGGAAUUCUGCUUCUGUGUUGGACCUUGCUACCAAACUCUGUUUCUUGCUUCUCCAUAUCACCAUAUUCCCACCAAGAAAGGUGCAAUGCCCUCAUGUUGAAAGUAUGGAGUUAAGACUUUAUUAUUAUUAUUAUUAUUUUUUGAUAAGUAUAAUUUGAUUUUAGAGUUAAGACUUGAUUGAAAUAGUCUUUGGCAUUAUCGGAUCAAAACCUCUUGAUAGUGACACCAAAUUGGUUUUCUACCAUGUUAUGAAAAUUUGGAAGAACAAAACUCACAUAAAAUUUGUGUUUAAGUACGAAAAUCCAAGAGACCCUCGUGGAAUCAUCGAUAAAAGAUAUGAACCAAUAUGCACUAGAUAUAUUAGAGAUAGGGGAAGGACCUCAAAUAUCACUGUGAAUUAAAUGAAAAUGUUCUGAACUUCUUUUAUUAGAUGGGAAAGGGUGAACGCGUGUGUUUUAGCAAGUUCACAUACAUCACAAUAGAAGCUCUCAACAUUUAAUUUAUUGAAUAGGGAAGGAAACAAAAGCUUAAGAGUUUGAAAUGAUAAAUGUCCAAGCCUAUGAUGAUGAAGCCAAAUUUUUUUUUCAUUUAAAAGAUGGUGCUUUGAAAGGGAAAAUACAGAUGACUCACUUGGUAUCUCAAGGUAGUAUAGCCUGUUCUGUUCCUUAGCAAGUCCAAUCCUCUUUCCCAAGUCUUGGUCUUGAAAUACACAAUAAGUAAGAAAAAAUGUCACAUUGCAACCCAAAUCUUGUGUAAGCUUUUGUAUAGAAACAAGAUUAGUGGACAACUUUGGAACAUGGAGCACAUUUCUGAGUAUGAGUGUAGGACUAAUUUGGACAUCUCCUAAACCCGCGAUAGAGAUUAAGGAACCAUCUGCCAUGGCUAUUUUCCUACUACUUGGACAAGGGUUAUAGUUUUUAAAUUGGUGUGACGAAAUGGGUCAUGUGAUUUGUGGCACCUAAAUCCAUAACCCAUGAUUUGACAAAGAUUUCAUCCGAGACUUUUAAUCCAAUGGAAAUAGGAAACUUACCUGAAAGUGCUAGUGAGUAGGUGCUUGAAGUUUGCUUGCCCAUUAUUCCUCUAUUGUCCUCCAUUGUAACCCCACUCUUUGCUAGAUGUAGUUGGGGUUUACCGUGAAGUUUCCAACAUUUUUCUUGUGUAUGUCUAGGUUUUUGACAGUGAGUGCACCAUAAGUUGUCCUUGUUAUCACGGUUUGAAGCCUUUGACUGAUCAAUCCUUUUGUUAUUCGCAAUGCUAGCCUUAUGAUCAUUGCCUUUGUUAGCAACCAUAGCUGAGCCUUCCAUAUUCUAAGGUUCAAGCAUGCCACUCUUUGCUAGAUGUAGUUGGGGCUUACCAUGAAGUUUCCAACAUUUUUCUUGUGUAUGUCUAGGUUUUUGAUAGUGAGUGCACCA